Molecule: non-coding RNA, 72 nt
Organism: Podarcis lilfordi (Lilford's wall lizard)
Lineage: Eukaryota; Metazoa; Chordata; Lepidosauria; Squamata; Lacertidae
Source: the annotation of a GenBank genome assembly
UAAAAUGGCAAAGGGUGUAAAAAGUAGAAAAACACAAGAUGUGUUUUUCUACUUUUUACACCCUUUGCCAAA